This 1844-nucleotide long non-coding RNA is filed under the name Capsicum annuum. RNAcentral's name for it is "long non-coding RNA (CANN_LNC002123)". Lineage: Eukaryota; Viridiplantae; Streptophyta; Magnoliopsida; Solanales; Solanaceae. The record is from RNAcentral.
CCUAGUUAAAGCUGAUGCCAAUGCUGAUAGGCUAUCACGAGGCUGAUGACUUAUCACGAAGAUCGUCAUCCAUGUUUUCUUCUAUUUUUCUCAGAUUUUCAACUCUUUUUCUCCAUUAUUGUUUAUUCUCAUUUCUUCAGCCCUAUUCUACAAUAUCAUGAGCAAACACAUCAAAACAACAAGCAUUAAAUAUGUUAGAUUUUGCUCACACAUCAACACCCUCAACUUAAAACAAUUUCUUGUCCUCAAGCAACAACUAACUAAGAGAAUACAACGAACAUUCAGCAGUCAACAACCAAUUUAGCUCAAAACUCAGUUUACCAUCUCCAAGGUCAACCAACUUAAAAUUAUUGUGCAAUUUAUUGAAAAGAAAUAAUGUAACACAAAGGCUUCUACCCAUGGCAUCAACUAAGCACCGCUAAUCAUGCAUGUAUCAAUGUACACUACAAACAAGUAAGUAACUUAGCAAGAUACUAGUGUGCCAUCACAACAAAGAAAUUCCACUCUUUUUCUCAUGUCAGACAUCAAAAAUAUAAACACGGGGAUCUUCACAAAAACACUCACUCUCAGAAUGAAGUUCAAACCAGUGCAUGCCAAAUACCAUAUGCUUGCCCUUAUCGUCAUUACCAAGGUUUCCAGAUAGGUACGCUAGGAUCACUAUAGGUCUUUCUUCGGCUUGUAACGUAGGCUAGGGCUGGUAUGACAUUAUAUGGCAUUUAAAGUGACUAACCUCCUUGGCACUACCUUAACUUGUAGGGUCCACUUAUUAACCUCUUUUUCUCUUUUUUUCUUUUCUUUUAUUUUUAUCAUCUUUUUUUCUCUUUUUUUUCACUUUUUCUAUUUUCUUGAUCACACUUUCAGGAUGGGUGCACUUCUUUUUAUUCAAGCAGAGUUUCUUUUCUUGCUCUUUUUCACCAACACCCAACCUUUUAUUCUUCUUCUUUGAUUCUUUCUCUUCUACUCUACCCUUCUUCAUACCCAACUUAUAUCACGCACCCCUAUGAUAGCCACCCUUAACUUAGGUUAUUUGCCUACGUUAAGGUGCAAAGUGUCCAAGGAGGACCAGGGCCAAAAUAGGUUCAUUAUGAUUUAAAAAGAGAAGGUGAUAGGUAUCAUAGAAAGAAAAAUGGUCAGUUAAGGAUUAAACCGGGAUCAAGGGAUAUCAUGCAUUAGAGGAAGGUCAUUUAGGCUAAUAGUGACUUAAAUUCAAAAAGGCCUAUGAUCCUUUCCUAACCCCUAUCUCUCAACUAUGGUAAUACGAAUUGAGCAAGUUCUAGAUUUGAUACUACAAAGAGAACUCGGUAUAGUCUCACACACACAUGGUACACAAGCAAUAUCACUAGCUACUACCUAUCUGGUUCAUGCAAUUAUUUAGUAGUGAUGGUCAGGUAACUAAACUAAUGCCAUGACAAGAUGCACAGUGGUCACACUAAGGUGCAAUUCAUACAGUCAUGCAAAACAAACCUUCAAAGAGGUGUUCAAAAUCACAAAUCAGUUAACUGCCUACAGAACUUGCACUACUCCUAGUUAUUUACAGAAUAUGCUACAACAACAUGCUACCCUACACCCUCAACUUAAAAUCAAAAUAAAAUGAAACUAAAGGUUAGGAUAUACCUGGAGUCAAUCAAGUCUCAAAUCAUGGGUCCUCGACCCUGCAGCAGUGUUAUCCUCAUCAGGAGCUUCUCUUUGCUCUGGUUCAGCUGUUCUACUAGAUGAGGCUCCUAUAGCUCUCGCUCGCAGUGCUUCUUCCCAUUUCUAGUUGUCCUCUCGGGAUGCUUUUAUUUCCCUUUUUAGAUCCGCCUUCUCCUGUUCUGUCAAGUCAUCAUCUGCCUACAGUGUCUUCU